GGUAGCGUGGCCGAGUGGUCAGGGCGUCGGACGUGUAAUCCGGAGGACCCGGGUUCAAGUCCUCCAUCCAUAUGCCA
This 77-nucleotide transfer RNA is filed under the name Desmophyllum pertusum. RNAcentral's name for it is "tRNA-Thr". The record is from RNAcentral. Lineage: Eukaryota; Metazoa; Cnidaria; Anthozoa; Scleractinia; Caryophylliidae.